GUGACUGAAGUGUAUGUGGCAAGCACGCCUGCCUGUGAAGCAGGAAGAGGGAGUUCGACUCUCCUCGGUCGCC
Molecule: transfer RNA, 73 nt
Filed under: Blastopirellula marina
Lineage: Bacteria; Pseudomonadati; Planctomycetota; Planctomycetia; Pirellulales; Pirellulaceae
Also listed under: 1 other name
Description: tRNA-His
Rfam family: tRNA
About the family: Transfer RNA (tRNA) molecules are approximately 80 nucleotides in length. Their secondary structure includes four short double-helical elements and three loops (D, anti-codon, and T loops).
Source: RNAcentral